GAUGAACGCUAGCGGCAGGCUUAAUACAUGCAAGUCGUGGGGCAGCAUGAGUAGCAAUACUUGAUGGCGACCGGCAAACGGGUGAGGAACACGUACACAACCUUCCUUCAAGCGGGGAAUAGCCCAGAGAAAUUUGGAUUAAUACCCCAUAAUAUAUUUGAUAAGGCAUCUUAUUAAUAUUAAAGCUUCGGCACUUGAUGAUGGGUGUGCGGCUGAUUAGAUAGUUGGCGGGUAACGGCCCACCAAGUCUACGAUCAGUAGCUGAUGUGAGAGCAUGAUCAGCCACACGGGCACUGAGACACGGGCCCGACUCUACGGAGGCAGCAGUUAAGGAAUAAUUUCGGUAC
Molecule: ribosomal RNA, 347 nt
Filed under: uncultured bacterium
Lineage: Bacteria
Description: bacterial SSU rRNA
Rfam family: Bacterial small subunit ribosomal RNA
Source: RNAcentral